AUUUUUAACAAUUUUCAUAAAUUUUGUAAAUUUUUGUAAAUUUUUACAAAAUAUUUUCCUCUGUAACUACAGGGCCAAGUUCAUUAUAGAUAGAGAUAUUUGUAAACAACAAGAUUAUUCAGUAAAGUAAGAUCUACAAACACAUCACCAUCACCAAAACACAAGUUUGUCAUGAAUCCAUCUGUGUCCUUUGUUUGAUAUGCAC
This 205-nucleotide long non-coding RNA is filed under the name Mytilus galloprovincialis (Mediterranean mussel). The record is from RNAcentral. Lineage: Eukaryota; Metazoa; Mollusca; Bivalvia; Mytilida; Mytilidae.